GACGAACGCUGGCGGCGUGCCUAAUACAUGCAAGUAGAACGCUGAAGGAGGAGCUUGCUUCUCUGGAUGAGUUGCGAACGGGUGAGUAACGCGUAGGUAACCUGCCUGGUAGCGGGGGAUAACUAUUGGAAACGAUAGCUAAUACCGCAUAAUAGUAGAUGUUGCAUGACAUUUGCUUAAAAGGUGCAAUUGCAUCACUACCAGAUGGACCUUCGUUGUAUUAGCUGGUUGGUGGGGUAACGGCUCACCAAGGCGACGAUACAUAGCCGACCUGGGAGGGUGAUCGGCCAAACUGGGACUGAGACAAGGCCCCGACCCCUACGGGAGGCCGCAGUAGGGAAUCUUCGGCAAUGGACGGAAGUCUGACCGAGCAAAGCCGCGUGAGUGAAGAAGGUUUUCGGAUCGUAAAGAUCUGUUGUAAGAGAAGAACGAGUGUGAGAGUGGAAAGUUCACACUGUGACGGUAUCUUACCAGAAAGGGACGGCUAACUACGUG
Molecule: ribosomal RNA, 495 nt
Filed under: uncultured bacterium
Lineage: Bacteria
Description: partial 16S ribosomal RNA
Rfam family: Bacterial small subunit ribosomal RNA
Source: RNAcentral